CCUACCUUUUCUUGGUGGAGACCAGGCAUGUAGUCCCAUUCCUCAUUAUUGUACAGAGGCAGAGGGAAAGGGUUUCGACUCCCUUUGGCAUCAUGUCUUUGGUGCUGCAGCUUCUUAUCUGCCAGAUCUAUCCUCAAGCACCAGGGACACUG
This is a small nucleolar RNA of Lemur catta (Ring-tailed lemur), 152 nucleotides long. RefSeq annotates it as small nucleolar RNA SNORA57. The transcript has a single exon. The record is from RefSeq and is a predicted model, not a curated record. Lineage: Eukaryota; Metazoa; Chordata; Mammalia; Primates; Lemuridae.